UAUGUUUUAAAAUUAUAAUUAUCUCUAAAUUGGUAUUUGAUUCUAAAAAGAAUCUUUAAAAUAUUUUAGAAUUAGAAAAUUCUUUGUAAUUCUAAAAACUCUAACUCUCAAACUUUCAAGAUUUUUUUUGAGAGUAACUUUCAACUAUGACAAAGGUCAAAGAUCUUAUCGUGAAACUUCAAUAAAAGCUUUGAGGGAUCAACUAAGGAGCAUAGGGUAGUGUUGUGUCAAGGAUAUGGAAAAGGAGUAUAGGUGUUGA
This 259-nucleotide long non-coding RNA is filed under the name Vitis vinifera (wine grape). RNAcentral describes it as "long non-coding RNA (VVIN_LNC003888)". Lineage: Eukaryota; Viridiplantae; Streptophyta; Magnoliopsida; Vitales; Vitaceae. The record is from RNAcentral.